Molecule: long non-coding RNA, 259 nt
Filed under: Sorghum bicolor (sorghum)
Lineage: Eukaryota; Viridiplantae; Streptophyta; Magnoliopsida; Poales; Poaceae
Description: long non-coding RNA (SBIC_LNC009998)
Source: RNAcentral
GGGUUCGGUCAAAUGGUGUGUUCAUCAAGAUAUAUAUUUUUAUAUGAUAAAUAGAUUUUUUAUUUGAUGAAAACUAUACCCUACUAGCAUUCCGAGUAAUAAAUAACAAAAAUAAAAAGUUUAACGUCAAUAUGAUAUGAAAAUAGAUUUCCAGUUGAUUGGAUAUAGUUUUUGUAAAUUUAUUAGAAUAAUAUAUUUUUGCAUUAACAAAAUACUAAACAUUUCUUACAAAAUUAUUGCAAAUUAAAAAAAUACAGUA